GACGAACGCUGGCGGCGUGCUUAACACAUGCAAGUCGAGCGGUAAGGCCCUUUCGGGGGUACGACGAGCGGCGAACGGGUGAGUAACACGUGGGUGACCUGCCUCUAGCUCUGGGAUAAGCCUGGGAAGCUGGGUCUAAUACCGGAUAUGACCUCGCGGUGCAUGUUGCGGGGUGGAAAGCCUUGUGCGGCUAGGGAUGGGCCCGCGGCCUAUCAGCUUGUUGGUGGGGUGAGGCCUACCAAGGCGACGACGGGUAGCCGGCCUGAGAGGGCGACCGGCCACACUGGGACGUGAGACACGGCCCAGACUCCUACGGGAGGCAGCAGUGGGGAAUCUUGCGCAAUGGGCGAAAGCCUGACGCAGCGACGCCGCGUGA
This 376-nucleotide ribosomal RNA is filed under the name uncultured bacterium. RNAcentral describes it as "bacterial SSU rRNA". It matches the Rfam family "Bacterial small subunit ribosomal RNA", at positions 28 to 404 of the family's 1533-position model. The record is from RNAcentral.